This 551-nucleotide ribosomal RNA is filed under the name uncultured Phialocephala. RNAcentral describes it as "eukaryotic LSU rRNA". The stretch from base 205 to 358 matches the Rfam family "5.8S ribosomal RNA". The record is from RNAcentral. Lineage: Eukaryota; Fungi; Ascomycota; Leotiomycetes; Helotiales.
UCCGUAGGUGAACCUGCGGAAGGAUCAUUACAAGUGAGGCUACCGAACGUUGGAAACAGCGGUUAGGAGCUUACACCCACCCGUGUUUACAUACUAUUGUUGCUUUGGCGGGCCGUGGCCUCCACUGCGGGCUCUGCUCGUGUGUGCCCGCCAGAGGACCAAACUCUGAAUGUUAGUGAUGUCUGAGUACUAUCUAAUAGUUAAAACUUUCAACAACGGAUCUCUUGGUUCUGGCAUCGAUGAAGAACGCAGCGAAAUGCGAUAAGUAAUGUGAAUUGCAGAAUUCAGUGAAUCACCGAAUCUUUGAACGCACAUUGCGCCCUGUGGUAUUCCGCAGGGCAUGCCUGUUCGAGCGUCAUUUAACCACUCACGCCUAGCGUGGUAUUGGGGCACGCGGUCUCGCGGCCCUCAAAAUUAGUGGCGGCGCCGGUGGGCUCUAAGCGUAGUACAUACUCCCGCUAUAGAGUUCCCCCGGUGGCUCGCCAGAACCCCCAAUUUUUUACAGGUUGACCUCGGAUCAGGUAGGGAUACCCGCUGAACUUAAGCAUAUC